This 1605-nucleotide ribosomal RNA is filed under the name Clostridium perfringens. Its description in RNAcentral is "partial 23S ribosomal RNA". It matches the Rfam family "Bacterial large subunit ribosomal RNA", at positions 1238 to 2853 of the family's 2925-position model. Lineage: Bacteria; Bacillati; Bacillota; Clostridia; Eubacteriales; Clostridiaceae. The record is from RNAcentral.
GUCGUAACCGGGCUGAAGUCGUACCGUAAGGAGCGGUGGACUGGUUACGAGUGAGAAUGUUGGCAUCAGUAGCGAGAUGUGGGUGAGAAUCCCACAGGCCGAAAACCUAAGGUUUCCUCAGGAAGGUUCGUCCGCUGAGGGUUAGUCGGGACCUAAGCCGAGGCCGAAAGGCGUAGGUGAUGGACAACUGGUUGAUAUUCCAGUACCACUACCAUCGUUAUUAUCGAUGGCGUGACGCAGGAGGAUAGUGUGUGCUAGCUAUUGGAUGCUAGUCUAAGCGUUUAGGCAGUGAGAGUAGGCAAAUCCGCUCUCAUAAUGCUGAGGCGUGAUGGGGAAGGUUCUACGGAACCGAAGUACAUGAUUCCACGCUGCCAAGAAAAGCGUCUAGAGAGAGAAGUAGUGCCCGUACCGCAAACCGACACAGGUAGGUGAGGAGAGAAUCCUAAGGCCGGCGGAAGAAUUACAGUUAAGGAACUCGGCAAAUUGACCCCGUAAGUUCGCGAGAAGGGGUGCCUACGAGAGUAGGCCGCAGAGAAUAGGCCCAAGCAACUGUUUAGCAAAAACACAGGUCUCUGCUAAAGCGUAAGCUGAUGUAUAGGGGCUGACGCCUGCCCGGUGCUGGAAGGUUAAGGGGAACACUUAGCGCAAGCGAAGGUGUGAACUUAAGCCCCAGUAAACGGCGGCCGUAACUAUAACGGUCCUAAGGUAGCGAAAUUCCUUGUCAGGUAAGUUCUGACCCGCACGAAUGGCGUAAUGACUUGGGCACUGUCUCAACUGUAAAUCCGGCGAAGUUGUAGUGCGAGUGAAGAUGCUCGCUACCCGCGAUUGGACGGAAAGACCCCGUAGAGCUUUACUGUAGCUUAGCAUUGAGUUUUGGUAUUGUCUGUACAGGAUAGGUGGGAGACUAGGAAACCAGGGCGUCAGCCUUGGUGGAGUCAACCUUGGGAUACCACCCUGACAGUACUGAAAUUCUAACUGGCGGCCAUGAAUCUGGUCACAGGACAUUGUUAGGUGGGCAGUUUGACUGGGGCGGUCGCCUCCUAAAAAGUAACGGAGGCGCCCAAAGGUUCCCUCAGAACGGUCGGAAAUCGUUCGAAGAGUGCAAAGGCAGAAGGGAGCCUGACUGCGACACCCACAAGUGGAGCAGGGACGAAAGUCGGGCUUAGUGAUCCGGUGGUACCUCGUGGGAGGGCCAUCGCUCAACGGAUAAAAGCUACCUCGGGGAUAACAGGCUGAUCUCCCCCAAGAGUCCACAUCGACGGGGAGGUUUGGCACCUCGAUGUCGGCUCGUCGCAUCCUGGGGCUGAAGUAGGUCCCAAGGGUUGGGCUGUUCGCCCAUUAAAGCGGCACGCGAGCUGGGUUCAGAACGUCGUGAGACAGUUCGGUCCCUAUCCGUCGCGGGCGUAGGAAAUUUGAGAGGAGCUGUCCUUAGUACGAGAGGACCGGGAUGGACUGACCUCUGGUGUACCAGUUGUUCCGCCAGGAGCACAGCUGGGUAGCUAAGUCGGGAAUGGAUAAACGCUGAAAGCAUCUAAGCGUGAAGCCAACCUCAAGAUGAGAUUUCCCAUAGCGUAAGCUAGUAAGAUCCCUUGAAGAACACAAGGU